Molecule: ribosomal RNA, 414 nt
Filed under: uncultured bacterium
Lineage: Bacteria
Description: bacterial SSU rRNA
Rfam family: Bacterial small subunit ribosomal RNA
Source: RNAcentral
GUGGGGAAUAUUGCACAAUGGGCGCAAGCCUGAUGCAGCGACGCCGCGUGAGGGAUGACGGCCUUCGGGUUGUAAACCUCUUUCAGUACAGAACAAGGCCUUCGGGUUGAGGGUAUGUGCAGAAGAAGCGCCGGCUAACUACGUGCCAGCAGCCGCGGUAAUACGUAGGGCGCGAGCGUUGUCCGGAAUUAUUGGGCGUAAAGAGCUCGUAGGCGGUUUGUCGCGUCUGCCGUGAAAUCCUCUGGCUUAACUGGGGGCGUGCGGUGGGUACGGGCAGACUGGAGUGCGGUAGGGGAGACUGGAAUUCCUGGUGUAGCGGUGGAAUGCGCAGAUAUCAGGAGGAACACCGGUGGCGAAGGCGGGUCUCUGGGCCGUUACUGACGCUGAGGAGCGAAAGCAUGGGGAGCGAACAGG